GAUGAACGCUGGCGGCGUGCCUAAUACAUGCAAGUCGAGCGAAUGGAUUAAGAGCUUGCUCUUAUGAAGUUAGCGGCGGACGGGUGAGUAACACGUGGGUAACCUGCCCAUAAGACUGGGAUAACUCCGGGAAACCGGGACUAAUACCGGAUAACAUUUUGAACCGCAUGGUUCGAAAUUGAAAGGCGGCUUCGGCUGUCACUUAUGGAUGGACCCGCGUCGCAUUAGCUAGUUGGUGAGGUAACGGCUCACCAAGGCAACGAUGCGUAGCCGACCUGCGAGGGGGAUCGGCCACACUGGGACUGAGACACUGCCCAGACUCCAACGAGAGGCAUCAUUAGGGAAUCGUCCGCAAUGGAAGAAAGUCUGACGGAGCAACGCCGCGUGAGUGAUGAAGGCUUUCGGGUCGUAAAACUCUGUUGUUAGGGAAGAACAAGUGCUAGUUGAAUAAGCUGGCACCUUGACGGUACCUAACCAGAAAGCCACGGCUAACUACGUGCCAGCCGCCGCGGUAA
This 515-nucleotide ribosomal RNA is filed under the name uncultured bacterium. Its description in RNAcentral is "partial 16S ribosomal RNA". It matches the Rfam family "Bacterial small subunit ribosomal RNA", at positions 28 to 523 of the family's 1533-position model. The record is from RNAcentral.